Molecule: long non-coding RNA, 735 nt
Organism: Symphalangus syndactylus (siamang)
Lineage: Eukaryota; Metazoa; Chordata; Mammalia; Primates; Hylobatidae
Source: RefSeq, a predicted model, not a curated record
AUGUAGACUUGAAGUAACUCAAGUAUACAGAACCAUAAGAUUCUGAAGAGAACAAUCUCAAGAUGAAAAUCACGGUUCCAUGUGCUUUCUUCACUCAACUAGUGUUUAUGAAGACUGUAUUAUAAUCCAAAUAGUAUGUUUCAUACUGAGAAAGAGAGGGAGAAAAGUGUGGCUUUGCCUCAAGGCACCAAAGGCGAUCUCAAAAUAGACUGAUAUUAGUAUUUUCAAUAUCUGGAUUAUACAAUCCAUGGUCAUGAAACUUUUUUCAGAGUUUGAGCUGGGGUGGAGGGGAGAAGCUAACAGUACACAAAUAUUGCAGAAGAGAAGAUUAUCAUAAGAAUUCCGAUAUGAUUGGAGGAGAGUGCAUGCAGCUAUGAAUAAGAGAAGAUGAGAAUCCAGAUGCUGGUGGACUUUAUACCACACUAAAGAGUUUGACCUGUAUCCUACAAACAUCAGGGGUGUUUAAAUGAGGUAGAGAUAUGAAGCAGUGCAUUCGUUUUAUUAAUGAAAGAUAAAGGUCAGAAUGGACUGAAGGAAAUGACAAGGGGAGAUGACUGGACAUACAGAUUGAGAAGUCAUCUGCACAUGGAAAUACAGCUCAUAAUAUAAGAUAAGGCUAUUGGUAAAAAUGGGAUCACGUACGGCUGCUGUAAAAGAAAAGAAAUGAAGAUCAACGAUCGUACCUUUGCAUACUGAGGGAACACCCAUACAAUGCAGUAGGUGAGCCCAUUGAAA